GAUGAACGCUGGCGGCGUGCCUAAUACAUGCAAGUCGAGCGAACGGACGAGAAGCUUGCUUCUCUGAUGUUAGCGGCGGACGGGUGAGUAACACGUGGAUAACCUACCUAUAAGACUGGGAUAACUUCGGGAAACCGGAGCUAAUACCGGAUAAUAUUUUGAACCGCAUGGUUCAAAAGUGAAAGACGGUCUUGCUGUCACUUAUAGAUGGAUCCGCGCUGCAUUAGCUAGUUGGUAAGGUAACGGCUUACCAAGGCAACGAUGCAUAGCCGACCUGAGAGGGGGAUCGGCCACACGGGACCUGAGCCACGGUCCAGACUCCUACGGGAGGCAGCAGUAGGGAAUCUUCCGCAAUGGGCGAAAGCCUGACGGAGCAACGCCGCGUGAGUGAUGAAGGUCUUCGGAUCGUAAAACUCUGUUAUUAGGGAAGAACAUAUGUGUAAGUAACUGUGCACAUCUUGACGGUACCUAAUCAGAAAGCCACGGCUAACUACGUG
Molecule: ribosomal RNA, 497 nt
Filed under: uncultured bacterium
Lineage: Bacteria
Description: partial 16S ribosomal RNA
Rfam family: Bacterial small subunit ribosomal RNA
Source: RNAcentral